AUUGAACGCUGGCGGCAUGCCUUACACAUGCAAGUCGAACGGCAGCACGGGAGCAAUCCUGGUGGCGAGUGGCGAACGGGUGAGUAAUAUAUCGGAACGUGCCCAGUCGUGGGGGAUAACGCAGCGAAAGUUGUGCUAAUACCGCAUACGAUCUAUGGAUGAAAGCGGGGGAUCGCAAGACCUCGCGCGAUUGGAGCGGCCGAUAUCAGAUUAGGUUGUUGGUGAGGUAAAAGCUCACCAAGCCUGCGAUCUGUAGCUGGUCUGAGAGGACGACCAGCCACACUGGAACUGAGACACGGUCCAGACUCCUACGGGAGGCAGCAGUGGGGAAUUUUGGACAAUGGACGCAAGUCUGAUCCAGCAAUGCCGCGUGCAGGGCGAAGGCCUUCGGGUUGUAAACUGCUUUGUACAGAACGAAAAGUACUUAAUAACACUAGAGGCUCAUGACGGUACUGUAAGAAUAAGACACCGGCGUAA
This 477-nucleotide ribosomal RNA is filed under the name uncultured bacterium. RNAcentral describes it as "bacterial SSU rRNA". It matches the Rfam family "Bacterial small subunit ribosomal RNA", at positions 30 to 501 of the family's 1533-position model. The record is from RNAcentral.